AACGCCCCUCGUGUCCUGUCGCUCCUGUCGUCCCCUCACGCCCCGCCUCGCUCACGGCCAGUCCCGGGAACACGCCGCCGUUUGUCGUCCCCACUACACACGUCCACAUGCAGUUGUUACGUCACUCCAUCGCGAUUACUCUGAGCUCAUCGCUACAUGGGCCAUCCCGCCGCUGUUAUGCCGCCGCUCCGUCACCACGCCGCUUCAUCACGCCACACUGCCUGCCACUCACCCCUCACCACUAACCACUCCACCCCGAGCUCUUAACACCACCUCCGUCACCACGCUCUUUCAUCACGCCACUCACUCUGUACCACCGCAUCACUCCACUAUUUCAUCCACUGCUCCAUCCAUUCCACACCGCAUAUCCCUCGCUGUCAACGCCGGUUUUCUGUUCAUUACCAAACCAUCAACCACCAGCUAGUCAUAUGUGUGGCUUAUCUUUCUUAACUCCCUCCCGCCGUCCCUCCUUCCUUCUCUUAUCUGAUUCCAAUUUCCUGGAUUUUUUUUUAUCUUUAACGUUUAAGACUCCUAUUUCAUCUAUUUUUUUUGUUACCUUUCAUUUAGAAGUCUGCUCUAGUCAAUAAUGUCAGAAGUAUGAAGUUGUUUUGUUUUCUGUCCUUUAUUUUUGUUCUGCCUCCAGUGUUUAUUGUCAACUUACCAUCAAUUCAACGCAGUUUUCAUUUCUUGGUUAUUUAGUGUUCGUCUUCCCGGUGCCCCGUGUCACCUCGCUCCAACUCUCUUUUUUCUUGUCAUAAUUGCUGUACCUUCCCCGCCUGCUGACCACCUCUCCACACACCAUACUCUCUAACUCUCCACCAUGACUUUCGAGCAUUCUCCGCAGUUCACAGACAUUCUACAGCUCACCAUUCACCUAAUCUCUCUAGUGCUGAUUCUCUUUAGCCACCAUACAUACAUAAACAUACAUUCCGCAUACCAUAUUUUUCCACAACAAUCAUGAUAGUAUGCCAUAUCGCUGCAGCACACUCACCAUACACACACCACCAUUUCAAUACAUACAGUUACCCACACACUAUCAUCCCCACCUUUCAUGAUAGGCACACACCAUACCAGAAUAAUCAACGCCUUUUCCCUCUUACUGCAUCACACAUCCCAUACACCACAGCACACACUUUUCCCGCGUCUUUGCCUUACCUUACCUUAUCUUACCCUCACCUUGGUCCCGCCUUUCACCUCACCACCCUUACUUUCUGGCACCAUAUUUAACCUUCUUCAUUCUUCCCCUAGACACAUAGCACACAUGGUACACACCCCAGCACAUGCAUACAGCACAUCCUGACCUAACCUUACACUCACUCCAACCUCCUGUUCAUACAACUAUCAUCAACAACCUCAUCUUCCGUCAUCAUACUUACAUGCAUAGCGACACCUCACCACUACCACCGCCACGCACCUCGCACGCUGAUGCUACCUCGCCCUCUGCCGCUCCGCCUCGCCGCCCCUCUGCCAUACUCGAGCACCGCCCCGUCGGAGUGUGCCCGGUAGCCGAUACUGCUCAGCCCGGCUCCCUAUACCUCCUCGCCCAUCGACCCGAGCACUGGCUCCUCCCACCACCUCCCACGGCGGAGACACUGACGCGGCCUCGCCCUCGCUAACCCCCGCCAGGCCGCCACCACCGCCCGAGCCACCUGUCACGGAGGGCCACGGCAGGCUAGGUUGUGCGAAGGGCGGGCCGCGACUGGCUGUAGGGCGCGCAGGAAGGACUCCGUGCGCCGCUUCCCCGAGUGUUUCCUUGGUUCGCUAAGUAAAGGAUGAAUUGGUACUUUGAGCAUUCACUUGCGGCGUGUGAAAAAGGAGCUCAUGAUUGAUUCCCUUCAUUAAUCACAACCACCACUGGGUCACGGCGCUGUUUCACCUCCUCCAAUCGUCCCUUCGCUGGCAUGGCCCUGGCUCUUUGACCUCCAGUAGCGGGUCGCCUAUCAACGAGCAGCUCAGGACUUCUGGGAGACUCUGGCUCAGGAUUAUGACAGAUGGAGGAUUUAGGCGACCCCCUACUCAAGGCUUCUCAGGGCUGCGUUGCCCCAACGAAAAUGGACUUCGGUGCUUCCGAUUCCAUAAACUAAGGUAACCUCCGAGUCCCACGCACACCCGUCUGCCUGCCCCCGAGAGACCCAGGCAGCGGCAGCACCUAAGUCUCGCCCGUCGUCAGGCGUCGAGAGUGUCAUCAAGAUGUGUCCUUUAACUGAGCGUCAUUCGAGGUGUCACUUAGACCGCUGCGAAGAAGCAACAAAUAGCGACGAAAAGCGG
This is a long non-coding RNA of Eriocheir sinensis (Chinese mitten crab), 2268 nucleotides long. RefSeq lists it as uncharacterized. The transcript is spliced from 5 exons. The record is from RefSeq and is a predicted model, not a curated record. Lineage: Eukaryota; Metazoa; Arthropoda; Malacostraca; Decapoda; Varunidae.